Centrocercus urophasianus (Greater sage-grouse) is the source of this 710-nucleotide long non-coding RNA. RefSeq lists it as uncharacterized. Lineage: Eukaryota; Metazoa; Chordata; Aves; Galliformes; Phasianidae. The record is from RefSeq and is a predicted model, not a curated record. The transcript has 3 exons.
UUUAAAUGACAAAAGCACCACACAUAGCGGAGGGAAGUCAAGCUGCUCUGUAAUAAUGUAUGAACACAUUUGUCAAAGCAAAUACAUCCAGAACAAGGAGGCCUUUAGACAAAACAAUACUUCCCUUUGAUCUGAGAACACCAAAAGGGCCUAACUCUCAACAAAGACUACAUGCUUUGACGCCGUUCUGUCAGACUGCCCCUCUGCUGCCAUCUGUUGCACAGCAAUAUAAUGCAACAGAAUAUGGGUGGGAAGGUUCAACCCCUACUAUCAUACCAACCAACAUCUGCCUCUGACGUGUGGGCCAACAUCAUAAAACAGAAGGCAUUACUUUCAGACAACCCUUCGUACAUUAUGUAUGAUUACCCCAAAUAACACAGUUUGAUUAAUACCAUAUCACAAUCAGAUAGCACACAGGCCUGCCACAUCACAAUUUUUCUUCAGGUAAGUGAACUGUUAAAUUCUUCUGGCCGUUUUUGUUUGUUUGAACUAUAAAUCCUGAAACUGAAAAGACAUGUAAUAAAAAAUUUCUAAAAUAUAUGCCAAACUAAGGUAGUGAUGGAAUCAGUUAUGUUGUAACUACAUAAUAUUUCUCUCAUCUGACAGGUGGUGCACAAUUAAUAUCUGAGUGGUUGGUUGAAAACCACAAAACAUUAUCGCAGAUUCCACAGCUGGAACUUACUAAUUUCAGCUUUUUUUUGCUUUUUAAA